RNAcentral lists this ribosomal RNA (327 nucleotides) under uncultured eukaryote. Its description in RNAcentral is "partial 18S ribosomal RNA". It matches the Rfam family "Eukaryotic small subunit ribosomal RNA", at positions 1470 to 1796 of the family's 1831-position model. The record is from RNAcentral.
CCCUUAGAUGUCCUGGGCUGCACGCGCGCUACACUGAUGUGUCCAGUAAGCACCUAACCUCUUCCGAAAGGAACGGGUAACCUUUGCAAAGCACAUCGUGAUGGGGAUAGAUUAUUGCAAUUAUUAGUCUUGAACGAGGAAUUCCUAGUAAACGCGAGUCAUCAGCUCGCAUUGAUUACGUCCCUGCCCUUUGUACACACCGCCCGUCGCACCUACCGAUUGAAUGGUUCGGUGAAGAUCUCGGACUUCGAUAUUUAUUCUUUAUUGAGUUUAUAUUGUGGGAAGUUAUCUAAACCUCAUCAUUUAGAGGAAGGUGAAGUCGUAACA